CAAAAACAGCUAGACAACUAUCAAGGAACCUGCCCCGAUAGUCAUGUAAGUUCUUUUCUAUUUUCCCUAAGUGUCAGCCGGUUUGAGAAAUAAAGGGACAGAGUACAAAAGAGAGAAAU
Molecule: long non-coding RNA, 119 nt
Organism: Nomascus leucogenys (northern white-cheeked gibbon)
Lineage: Eukaryota; Metazoa; Chordata; Mammalia; Primates; Hylobatidae
Exons: 3
Source: RefSeq, a predicted model, not a curated record